AGGAUAAACGCUGGCGGCGUGCCUAACACAUGCAAGUCGAACGUCCUACGCAAGUAGGGAGUGGCGGACGGGUGAGUAACACGUGGGCAAUCUACCUUUCGGUGAGGAAUACCGGCGAGAAAUCGCCGACAAUACCGCAUACGCUUCGCAAGAAGCAAAGUCGCAAGACGCCGGAGGAGGAGCCUGCGCCCGAUUAGCUCGUUGGUGGAGUAAUGGUCUACCAAGGCGACGACGGGUAG
RNAcentral lists this ribosomal RNA (239 nucleotides) under uncultured bacterium. Its description in RNAcentral is "partial small subunit ribosomal RNA". It matches the Rfam family "Bacterial small subunit ribosomal RNA", at positions 26 to 286 of the family's 1533-position model. The record is from RNAcentral.